UGAUCUUGUCCAUAAGAACUCGGAUUCUUUCUUUUUUUUCCCAUGUAGUUAACUAAAAAAAGCUCUUUUGUCCUUUCAGUGAAACAACUGGAUUGAGAAAUUGCAAUAUUCAAACUCAUUAGCUUUUAUCUUGGCCAUUUGUUUCAUAAACUCAUAGUCGCCUAUUAAAGCUGAUGUUGUAAGACCAACCCAUUUCAGACUUGAAAAUUUUACUGAGAUAUUUACGUCAGAACUGAAAUAAUGCACAUGACUUUGACUGGACUCAUGGUUAGAACUGAAAUGUCUUUCCCUGGUAAUGCAUUCUUGGGUUAUGAGGAAAUAAAUUGAAUUUGAACAUUUCAAAUACAUACAUAAGCUGUUUUCAAAUUACUUGCUAAACUUUAUUCUAGGUUAAUAUUGCAGGUCCAUGAAUGAAAUAUUUUUAUGUUGGAAAUGGAAUAAAGUAUCUUGUUGUAGUGGCAAUGGCAUUUUCUUAAUCCUCAAUGAUUUGCACGCGAGGACAUCAUGCAAUUGUGCUUCUUUUAAUUUGGUUGCAUUUGUAUUUCCUCCCACACUGAAAAGUAUUUUUGUUAUCUAAUGUUUUAAAUCAUCUUUUUAUUAUAUAAUGUAGGAAGAAGAAAUGACCAAAAUAGAGCAUGAGAAAAAAUCCAUGUUACUUCUAAAACAACAAGAAGAAAACCUUGACUGGACUAAGACUGAAAAAACUCGACUGAGUGUCGAGGGUUUGGAAGCUGAUAUCAGACGCCUGCAGCAUUCAAUAAGUAAUACUUGUUCAUCUAUAUUGGAACUCAUUGAUGUGGAGCUGUACCCUCAACUUGUUACAUUAACUUCCGGGUGAUAAUACAGACUCCUAUAGUAUGCUAUUGUUUAUUGUUGGCACUUGGCAUAUCAAUAAUGUAGGACAAGUUAGAUGAUUUUCACAUGUUCAAGAAGUGAUUAUAUUGAAGUUCUUCACAAAACCUGUUUAUCAUCUCUUGAAGUCAUUAUGAAAUCGAUUGCUAUAAUAAUCUCAUAUUAUGAUGGUAACAGCAUCAUUCUUUGGUCAAAUGGUUUAUAUAGCACUUAAGAAGACAGCUCUUCCAUUUUGUAUGUGAAUGGGAUUUGAGGCUUUGUACCCAGGUCUCUAGUGACACUGUCAAAUGAUUUUUAGAGUUAAGAAACUAGCAUCAAAUUUAUGCUAGUAACUUUCCCCAUUCCUUAAACCUUUGUCACCAUCUUAUGAUCGUGUGAUUAUUUCAUAUUGAAGAAAAGUGAUUUCCCAUCAAAUUUCUAAUGGGAUCACAAAACUGUACAUAUUCUCUAUAGCAUUUGUUUGUCUGGCCCAUGGAUUGAAAUGUUUCUGUCCAAAUUUCUUUUGGAUUUAUCAGGGUAAAAAGGGUAUGAUCUCAUAAAACAACUUAUAAAAUAGGAAAUUAAGGACUGCACAACUUAUAGGAGAACAAUUUAUUCCAUACCACAAUGGAUAUAUUUUUGCUUCUUUCUUCUCUACUGCUAAAUUUCUGCCCUUGGGUGAUUUCUAGUCAGGUGUUAGGUUUCCUUUAGUAUCUUCCAUAUUUGUAAAGUGUCUCAAAUUGAUCUUAAUUAUUCUAUAUUUUGUCUUCUUUGUUUUGCUUGAUUGCUUUUAUAGGCUGAAAAAUAUGUGGAGAACUAUGUAUGAAUGCCAUCAAGUUCAGAACCAUAUAUCUCUGCAA
This 1691-nucleotide unclassified non-coding RNA is filed under the name Hevea brasiliensis (rubber tree). Lineage: Eukaryota; Viridiplantae; Streptophyta; Magnoliopsida; Malpighiales; Euphorbiaceae. The record is from RNAcentral.